AAUUCUCAAAACCCUUUCUUUGGUCUCUUGAUCGGGGGAAGGAUUUUGGACUUGGAGGCCUUUUGCUGGUUUCACCUCGAAGCGAGCUCCUCCCAAAUGAAUUAGUGGGGUCUGCUUUGCCGAUCCUUGGCGUGAUAAGUCAUUUCUACGUCGGUUUUUUGGCACUGUACACCUGCUCCCACCCGUCUCAUUGACAAACGAGGGUGUUCCGGUCCCCGCCGAUUCGUCGGUGGGAGGCUUGACCCACGAAAUGAAC
RNAcentral lists this unclassified non-coding RNA (256 nucleotides) under uncultured Russula. Its description in RNAcentral is "sequence contains ITS2". Lineage: Eukaryota; Fungi; Basidiomycota; Agaricomycetes; Russulales; Russulaceae. The record is from RNAcentral.